UUUCUUUGGAGAGUUUGAUCCUGGCUCAGGACGAACGCUGGCGGCGUGCCUAAUACAUGCAAGUCGAGCGGACCAAAUCGGAGCUUGCUCUGAUUUGGUCAGCGGCGGACGGGUGAGUAACACGUGGGCAACCUGCCCGCAAGACCGGGAUAACUCCGGGAAACCGGAGCUAAUACCGGAUAACACCG
This 188-nucleotide ribosomal RNA is filed under the name Anoxybacteroides amylolyticum. RNAcentral describes it as "Anoxybacillus amylolyticus partial 16S ribosomal RNA". It matches the Rfam family "Bacterial small subunit ribosomal RNA", at positions 1 to 181 of the family's 1533-position model. Lineage: Bacteria; Bacillati; Bacillota; Bacilli; Caryophanales; Anoxybacillaceae. The record is from RNAcentral.